UUUUUUUUUUUUUUUUUUUUUUUUUUUUUUUAUGCAGCCCUUUUUUUUUUUUUUUUUUUUUUUUUUUUUUUUUUUUUUUUUUUUUCUUUCUCUU
This 94-nucleotide long non-coding RNA is filed under the name Dermacentor andersoni. RNAcentral describes it as "uncharacterized LOC126525928". Lineage: Eukaryota; Metazoa; Arthropoda; Arachnida; Ixodida; Ixodidae. The record is from RNAcentral.